CUUUAUCCCCACUAAUGACAACGGAAAGAUCUAAGACUUCAUUGUUUACCACUGUCAUUCCAGAUGGUAUAGGUGUCCAUAGGAAUGGAUUAACUAAUUGUGGUGUUUGGGUGGCAAAGAGGAUGAUGGAAAUGGGCAAGAAUGGAUAUAGAAUUGAGGUUGACAACGACACCAGGUUGAGAGUUGCCCUGGACAUCACACUGCACCCAUACAACACCCACCUAAGUGCCAUUAUGUAGAAAUCAGGGAAAUAUAUGGACUUGUGCAAGGCUAAUUGAACUGGCUUUUUUUUGGGUAUAUGUGGUCUGCUAUGCAGACCAUUUUUUUUGUAAAUCUGGUACAAUUUUAUUUUUUUAUGAUGCAUAGGUCACUCAAAUUGAUGAAAUCAUAUGAAGAGCUCAUAUUUAAUUUUCAUGAGCAUGUCUAGCUCAUUCUUAAGUACAUGCGGGGUUCAUAUCAGAAAUCUCUAGAUUAUAGUCCCUUCCGAGUUUCGAGAGACGCUGCUUGGAACAAUGUCAGAAGGAAUGCUUGACUGCUCUCAUACAACCCAUACAGUUGCUGAUGUGAGGAGUGGUGGAAGUGGGUGUUUGACAUGGCAUGGGAAUUUAAUCGACAUGGAGAAACUAGUGAUCAAGGCCGAGCACUUGUCUUUGAUAGUGUUUUAGGAAAAUUGAGAUGAGUUCACUUGUCUAUGUUUAUGACCUUACAAUGCUCAAAUGUCAUCUAAUGUUACCGUAAUUUAUGUUUGAUCUGUUUAUAACAUGUCUUUGUUGGCUAAUUAUAUUGUCUAUAUUGUAUUGCCAGUUAUUGGAUUACUUAUUUCGAUGUUGUUACCACAGUAUAAUGUUUUUUGUAUUCUCUGAAGUUCUACUUGCAGGGGUUAGAAACGCCCGCAAAAAAAAAGAAAACCGCCGCAAAUUACCAGAUUUUUCUCCACAUAUACCGACAGAAGACAAGUCGUAAGAAUAUCUUGACGUAUGGUUUAUCAAUAAAGAUUUGUGGGCCACGCAACAUCUCCUUUUGUGCUGGUUUUGAACCGCCACAAAAUUGACUAAGUUGCUUUUCUGUCAAUUUCCAAUUUUGAGGCGGUAACUUUGGCGGUUCUCCACCGCCACAAUUGUGCUUUUCUUUUUUGUAGUUUGUAAAUCAUAAUUAAUUAUUUAGGAAGACUAAAACACACUAGUCUCAGGAUAAAAAAACAAAGAUGGUUAUACGUUUAUCAAGAUGAAUCAACUUUUUCUUAAAAAAAAAAAAAGAAUCAACUUAUAUAAAAAACAAAGACUCAUCAAGAUGAAGCCUAACACAAAUAUAGAUGGAAUUCAGUAAAUGUCAUGAUGAUGUGUGACUGGAAGACAUUUAAUAAACCCAAAAAAAGAUACCGAUUUCUGUAUUUCUGUUUGGAACUAUCAGGGUGAAUCUUAAUCCUAAAUAUACAUCAACCCAAUAAGUAACGCUUUUAAAGGGGUAGGAGGGGAUAAUAAGAGUUAAACAUCCUUUACUUUUUAGUUUUGAGACGUUUACGUUUUAGUCUCUUAAAAAUAGCUUUGCUAUGCUUUGGUGACGUUAGCCAAAUCAUCAUUUGGUGUGCAAGAUCCACAAGAACCCUAUCCACUGUCUUUCUGCUAGAGACCCUGAUAUGAAAAUUCUAUGCUAGAAGCAAAAGAACUUCUUCACAUAAAGUAUAUGUAAGAUCAAGUUUUGAUCUAGUAGUACAACUCUAUGUUUUGAUGAUUACAAAUUAACCUUUUGAUAUGAACAAUUGUGGUACUCUAACGUGUUUUUCUGAGUGUGCUAUUUACAGGCUCUGACCUCAACUCAAUCUCACACAAAUCAGAAGCACUGUGUAUAAAGAGCAACCCAAGCAACGCUUUCGCAUUCACCAUGUUCAGUGUGAACAGUGGAAAAGCUUCAGAAGUUCUGAAGUUAUACAAACUCUGAUGUGGACUCAGUCACUAGAAGCUCUGAAGAUCCAGAAAGUCUGAUAACCAAGAAACACUGAAGGCUCAGAUAUUCUGAUGGUGUAGAAGACUCUGAAGAUCCAAAAGCUAAUUAGUGAAAUUCUGUUGUCCAGAAGCAAGAUACUCUGAAGACCAUGUUCUUCCCUCUGAGUUCAGAAUCAGAAGAAACAAUGGCCAGAGGAUCUGGGCUUUCCCUCUGACUCUGAUCAACCGGCUUCACAAGUUCCAAUAUGAAGCAUCCCCUGAUCAGAAGUCUCCUAGGUUUAAAGGUCAAGUCGCUAUCCAAGUACAAAAGCAACUGUACCUUCCUGACGACCUACCUAACAGUCUCAGACACAGCAGAAGCUGGAUUUUCCAGAACUGCCCUCCAACGGUAGCAUUUCCCAUGCAACGCUCAACCCUAAUCCUUGGAGUAUAUAAAGAGGUUGAAGACUGAAAGAAACGGCUAGAAGCAUUCACAUACGCGCAAGACAAACUUAAAUUCUUCUAAGCUUUCUUUCAUCUGAAAUUCAUUGAGUUUACUAUUAGCUUUUUAGAAGCAAAUCUCUUGUAAACAAUUCUUUGAUAAACAGUUUGUUUAGUUCCUUUAGGAGAUCAAGGCUGAUCGGAUCCUAGAGAAGACUAAGAGAGUGAAUCUUAGUGUGAGCUAAGUCAGUGUAAUUGUUAGUCACUUGUAGGUUUCAAGUGCAGUUGUAACUCUUACCUGAUUAGUGGAUUGCCUUCAUUCUAAGAAGGAAGAAAUCACCUUAACGGGUGGACUGGAGUAGCUUGAGUGACUUAUCAAGUGAACCAGGAUAAAA
Long non-coding RNA from Lotus japonicus, 2758 nucleotides. RefSeq lists it as uncharacterized. Lineage: Eukaryota; Viridiplantae; Streptophyta; Magnoliopsida; Fabales; Fabaceae. The transcript has 4 exons. The record is from RefSeq and is a predicted model, not a curated record.